This is a long non-coding RNA of Daphnia carinata, 992 nucleotides long. RefSeq lists it as uncharacterized. The record is from RefSeq and is a predicted model, not a curated record. NCBI's taxonomy places the organism in Eukaryota, Metazoa, Arthropoda, Branchiopoda, Diplostraca, Daphniidae. The transcript is spliced from 4 exons.
GGCUGACCAGAAUUACAAACACAUUGUCGCAGCAGUCUUGCAACAAUCAUUGUUGAAAAAUUUUUUCCCCUAAGUUUUUAUGCUAUUAUCUUUCUGUUGGAAACAUGAGAAGUGAUCUCAUGUCAACAGUGUGAUGAUUGUUACUGCAAAUCUGCAGAAACUGGUGAGCUGUCCGACAGGCUGCUAACUACUCGUCUUGAGUAUUUGAUCUCAUACAACUGUCAGAUUGUACAAAAAAUUUAUUUUGAAAAGAAGUGCAGAAUGCUAAAGUUUCCUCAGUAUGGAGAUGAACAGUGUAGCAAAUCCAGGUCACCUAACCUGCAUCCCAUGAAAUCUCUAACGACCAGUUUACGUAGAUGAUUUGAACCAUUUAACCAAAGGGCAAUAAAAAUCGACAUGGCUUUUUAAAAAUAUGUUGCAAUAUGCAUCUUACGCUUCCAAUUCCGGAUUGUGUUCCCGCAACAGGAUGGUUGAGCACGUUUCUCAGUGAUUUUGCUUUAUGUUACUUCUUAUCUGUUUUAAUAUUUACUUUUCUUUGUAAAUGUGUGGUUUUAUUAGCUUUUAAGUUCUAGAAAAAAUUACACAGAGAUCAGUGUUGAGGGGUGGGGGAGGGUAGUAUGAUGUAAAUAUGAAAAUAAUUUGUUCGGUAGAUUGGGGUAGGUGGUGCCAAUCAAACCGUAACUUGCGUGGUGGCAAUGUUUGAUUAGGGAGUUGGUUGAUUUAGUAAAGUUUCCAACUUUUGUAGGCUGAAGGUGAGGUAGGGUAGAUUCAAGGAUAACGAACGUUAACAUCAUUUACCCUGACGCAUCUACCACAUGUUUCUUUCUUGCAAUAGGUAAAUGUGUGUAAGUGCGAAAUUUAAACGAAAAAAAACCAUAUAACAUGUGCAGGUAAAAGUAUAAUUAAAUUAUAAUAAAAGCAGCGUAUAUGCAGCUUAUGUUGAAAUCUAACCAAAUGUUGGUAAGUUAAAUACACUGACGUUGGUAGUUUUC